UAGCAUAUCAAUAAGCGGAGGAAAAGAAACCAACAGGGAUUGCCUUAGUAACGGCGAGUGAAGCGGCAAUAGCUCAAAUUUGAAAUCUGGCGCUUGCGUCCGAGUUGUAAUUUGUAGAGGAUGAUUUUGGUUAGGUACCUUUCGAGUUCCUUGGAACAGGACGCCUUAGAGGGUGAGAGCCCCGUACGAUUGGAUGCCGAGCCUCUGUAAAUCUCCUUCGACGAGUCGAGUAGUUUGGGAAUGCUGCUCUAAAUGGGAGGUAAAUUUCUUCUAAAGCUAAAUACCGGCCAGAGACCGAUAGCGCACAAGUAGAGUGAUCGAAAGAUGAAAAGCACUUUGAAAAGAGGGUUAAAUAGCACGUGAAAUUGUUGAAAGGGAAGGAUUUAUGACCAGACUUUUUCUAGGAGAAUCAUCCGGUGUUCUCACCGGUGCACUUCUUUUAGUUUAGGCCAGCAUCGACUUUCGGCGGUGGAUAAAAGCUUUAGGAAUGUGGCUUCCCUCGGGAAGUGUUAUAGCCUAUUGUAUAAUACACUGCUGGGGGUCGAGGUACGCGCUUCUGCAAGGAUGCUGGCGUAAUGGUUAUCAAUCACCCGUCUUGAAACACGGACCAAGGAGUCGAACAUUUGUGCGAGUGUUUGGGUGUUAAACCCUCACGCGUAAUGAAAGUGAACGGAGGUGAGAGCCCUUACGGGUGCAUCAUCGACCGAUCCUGAUGUUUUCGGAUGGAUUUGAGUAAGAGCAUAAAUGUUCGGACCCGAAAGAUGGUGAACUAUGCGUGGAUAGGGUGAAGCCAGAGGAAACUCUGGUGGAGGCUCGCAGCGGUUCUGACGUGCAAAUCGAUCGUCAAAUCUGCGCAUGGGGGCGAAAGACUAAUCGAACCAUCUAGUAGCUGGUUACCGCAA
This 902-nucleotide ribosomal RNA is filed under the name Bartalinia pondoensis. RNAcentral's name for it is "LSU rRNA". It matches the Rfam family "Eukaryotic large subunit ribosomal RNA", at positions 36 to 963 of the family's 3401-position model. Lineage: Eukaryota; Fungi; Ascomycota; Sordariomycetes; Amphisphaeriales; Sporocadaceae. The record is from RNAcentral.